RNAcentral lists this ribosomal RNA (1526 nucleotides) under Shigella boydii 4444-74. RNAcentral's name for it is "bacterial SSU rRNA". It matches the Rfam family "Bacterial small subunit ribosomal RNA". The record is from RNAcentral. Lineage: Bacteria; Pseudomonadati; Pseudomonadota; Gammaproteobacteria; Enterobacterales; Enterobacteriaceae.
GAGUUUGAUCAUGGCUCAGAUUGAACGCUGGCGGCAGGCCUAACACAUGCAAGUCGAACGGUAACAGGAAUCAGCUUGCUGAUUCGCUGACGAGUGGCGGACGGGUGAGUAAUGUCUGGGAAACUGCCUGAUGGAGGGGAUAACUACUGGAAACGGUAGCUAAUACCGCAUAAUGUCGCAAGACCAAAGAGGGGGACCUUCGGGCCUCUUGCCAUCGGAUGUGCCCAGAUGGGAUUAGCUUGUUGGUGGGGUAACGGCUCACCAAGGCGACGAUCCCUAGCUGGUCUGAGAGGAUGACCAGCCACACUGGAACUGAGACACGGUCCAGACUCCUACGGGAGGCAGCAGUGGGGAAUAUUGCACAAUGGGCGCAAGCCUGAUGCAGCCAUGCCGCGUGUAUGAAGAAGGCCUUCGGGUUGUAAAGUACUUUCAGCGGGGAGGAAGGGAGUAAAGUUAAUACCUUUGCUCAUUGACGUUACCCGCAGAAGAAGCACCGGCUAACUCCGUGCCAGCAGCCGCGGUAAUACGGAGGGUGCAAGCGUUAAUCGGAAUUACUGGGCGUAAAGCGCACGCAGGCGGUUUGUUAAGUCAGAUGUGAAAUCCCCGGGCUCAACCUGGGAACUGCAUCUGAUACUGGCAAGCUUGAGUCUCGUAGAGGGGGGUAGAAUUCCAGGUGUAGCGGUGAAAUGCGUAGAGAUCUGGAGGAAUACCGGUGGCGAAGGCGGCCCCCUGGACGAAGACUGACGCUCAGGUGCGAAAGCGUGGGGAGCAAACAGGAUUAGAUACCCUGGUAGUCCACGCCGUAAACGAUGUCGACUUGGAGGUUGUGCCCUUGAGGCGUGGCUUCCGGAGCUAACGCGUUAAGUCGACCGCCUGGGGAGUACGGCCGCAAGGUUAAAACUCAAAUGAAUUGACGGGGGCCCGCACAAGCGGUGGAGCAUGUGGUUUAAUUCGAUGCAACGCGAAGAACCUUACCUGGUCUUGACAUCCACGGAAGUUUUCAGAGAUGAGAAUGUGCCUUCGGGAACCGUGAGACAGGUGCUGCAUGGCUGUCGUCAGCUCGUGUUGUGAAAUGUUGGGUUAAGUCCCGCAACGAGCGCAACCCUUAUCCUUUGUUGCCAGCGGUCCGGCCGGGAACUCAAAGGAGACUGCCAGUGAUAAACUGGAGGAAGGUGGGGACGACGUCAAGUCAUCAUGGCCCUUACGACCAGGGCUACACACGUGCUACAAUGGCGCAUACAAAGAGAAGCGACCUCGCGAGAGCAAGCGGACCUCAUAAAGUGCGUCGUAGUCCGGAUUGGAGUCUGCAACUCGACUCCAUGAAGUCGGAAUCGCUAGUAAUCGUGGAUCAGAAUGCCACGGUGAAUACGUUCCCGGGCCUUGUACACACCGCCCGUCACACCAUGGGAGUGGGUUGCAAAAGAAGUAGGUAGCUUAACCUUCGGGAGGGCGCUUACCACUUUGUGAUUCAUGACUGGGGUGAAGUCGUAACAAGGUAACCUAGGGGAACCUGCGGUUGGAUCACC